Molecule: RNA transcript, 4798 nt
Organism: Gadus macrocephalus (Pacific cod)
Lineage: Eukaryota; Metazoa; Chordata; Actinopteri; Gadiformes; Gadidae
Gene name: membrane-spanning 4-domains subfamily A member 4D-like
Exons: 7
Source: RefSeq, a predicted model, not a curated record
AAUCAUAACAGGGGCUCAGGGGUGUCGUUCACGCGAACUUUUUGACGUCGCGAAUGUGUUUCCCCCAUAAUUUCCAGCGACGUGAAUGCGCCACUAAAGCGGAAAACCUGAACGAAUUGUGGACGAGGCAACAGAGGAAGAGCCAUACUUACACCGUCUGUGGAUCUAAUUUAAACUGAAUUCUGCGGUAACAACGAGGUUUAAUCCUUUAUCAACAGAUCCACAUCUGAGGUCAUAGUGUGAAUCUAAGAUGUCUGGGAGCCUUGAUUUGAGGAUGGAGAGCGGAGAGAGGGAACAAUUGGCUUCUCCCCAGAAUGAACCAACAGCCUCUGAGGGCCUCGGAAAGUUCCAGCGAUUGAAGCCCACAAUACUCGGAGCGAUUGAAGUAACAAUUGGGAUCUCCAUGGCACUGACCGCAAUCGCGUAUCUGGCUGUCGAUGUCGACCCUUACCUAACAGCAAUCCUCUUCUGGGGAAUCCUCAUCUGGCACCAAAGAGUUCUGGUGAUGUUGUCCCCUACAGUACAUCCCUGCUGGGGGUCUGACCAUCGCUGCUGACUGGAAACCCACCAGGGCCAAGGUGUGCGCUGCGUUGGGGAUGAAUGUGCUGGUGGCUCUCUCGGCCGUCGCUGGAAGUCCUCUUCAUGGCUUUGCUAUUGUAAUAUUUGGGUUUGAAGAGUGCGUAACUCUGUGUCACAGUGAAUUUGUCAUGCUGGCAGCGUCCAUCUUGCUGUUCAUCAUCUCUAUAAUCGUUGUUGCAUCUGCAGUGUCUGCUCUGUGUGCCUCUAGAAAGCCAUCAAAAGAACACACAGUCAUCUAAGAGGAACUUUUUGUUUGUUCUGUCAAUCCCUAUGUGAAAAAAUAUCAUUAGGGGUCCAAGCCAACAGGUUGGAUCCCUAUUGUUUUUGUUCCCUAUUUUGACUCGUCCGUCGAUGACGAAACUGUAGCGUUUUGAAUAUUGGUUUAUUAGCUAAAUUAGACGUGGAAAAACAAAAUCCAAAAAAAUCCAAAAAUACACAUUGGAUCGAUUCCAAAUUUUACACACAUGUUGGUGCUAACCUUAAUGUUGUUCGAUAAAAAAACGAGGAUAAAAACGUGCAAUAAACGAGGAAAUUGUAUAUCUUCUACAAAAUUUCGCCAUUAGUGGCCGCCAUAAACGAGGGAAUUGUUCAUCUCCUAACUGGCCAAAGUGAUGUUCUGAAACAUGUUUGGGGAUAUAACUCCCACGACGAACCUCUCACAGUCAAAACCUUUAUAUCCACAGGUUCACGGUAGCGUUUUGAACACAUGGUUCGCGUUGUGCCGGCGAAAUGCACAUUUCUUGUUAUCAUACUUCCUGCCUUGGAAGUGGGACCACAGCCCAAACUGUAAAUGGUGCACACACGCCAAUUGCAUGACUAGAUCAAGGUACGGCACCGCUACUCAGACGAGAAAAUCCAGACACGCCUGUCACUAGGUGGCGCUAUACCAAGGAAAGACGCGUUUGGGGCUAUAUCUCCCACACCGAACCUCCCACAGUAAAAACCUUUAUAUCCACAGGUUCACGCUAGCGUUUUGAAUACUUGCUUCGCGUUGUGCCGGCGAAAUGCACAUAUCUUGGACCCCUGCAUAACUGCUUGCAGUUCUAGUUAUUAUUAAGUACACUUUUAGUAUGUAACUGUAUUCUGCACUAAUUUCGUCGCAUUCAAGCAUACCAAAAUGUACUAAGGUAUACCGGCUUAAGUACUAUUAUAGAUGUACUCUGUGUUAAUAAGUGUUAAUAGUAUGCUAAAAUGGCACAACUUUUGACAACCUUUAAGUGACCUGAAGUACACCAGUGAAAAGUAUGAUUUCUAGCAUUCAAAACACACUUGCAGUCGAUUGCAUUAUAUCACCAGUGUGUUUGAAAUAUACUUAGAAAGGCAUUGUACUUUUAAAGAGUGCCAUUAACAUUUUUAUCACAAUUUAAGCAUCAAAUGCAAGUACUUUAAGUAUAAUGUGAUAAUACUAUAAUGUAGAGUGGAAGUGUAUAUGAAGUGUAUUUUAUCACUACUAAUACUACAGAAUAUAAGUGUAUUUAGAAUUUUUGAAUAUUAAGGCUAUUUUUUAGUACCAUACUGUUAAGUACUUUAUAAAUACUACAGAACUGUACUUACAAUACAUCACUCUUAUACUUCACAUGCACUGGUGCCAUCUUAGUACACUCCAAGGGUUCAAACCACUUCAAUUCUAAUAAAACUAAACUUAUUGGAUUGGCUGUGAGCCGUCACUCAGGGGCAGCCUACGUGGACCUCACUGUGGCACCUCCUCCUUAGCAGGGCCCGGUUCUCGCUGACCAUGGUGUUGGGGCAUUUCUCCCUCACCCUGUCUGUGAAAACAGGAAGGAAGCAUGUGAUUUAAGACUUAGGAUAAACAAUGUAUUACACUGACACAGACUAGUGCGUUCGGAGCGCGUGCCCAAUCGGAGCGUCCGUUCCAACUGAAGCUGGUCCGAUCGACCUCCUGCUCGACACUACGCUGCCCACAGUCCAACACGUGUGACGUUAACUUCACAUUCCCUGGCCAUAUGGUUGCCCGGAUGUGACACUGCGCCUGGAUGGAAAGUAAGCACUUUUGUGAGAACCGCUCAUUUAAAGAACUUUAAACUCAACAUCGCUAUUGGGUCCCGAGCAAUACAACCGCAGAGUGUGCAGCCAUCGAGCUUAUCAACGGAGAGACAGACGGACAGACAGAGAGAUUCCUGCUAUUGUAGUUUGAUUAUCUGUACCUUGGCUUCGACCUUUUCAGGGUCAAGCUGAUCUCUGGCCUCCCCUUUUUCCCCUUCCCAGUCAGGGUAGACUGGGCCAGGGUCUCUUUUCCAAACUCCAUGUGGCCAGCUCCUCUGUGAAAAGGGACAACCGUCUGCUGCCAAUUCUGUAGCAGAGCCGUUUGGAGACCUGGGCGGCGGUGUUGCCCUGGAACAUCCUUAAAAACACAGAGGCCAAUUAAAACAAGGUCACAAUUACAAACACACUAACAUGUUUUAAGUAAACCUCGAACACACUGGUGAUACAAUCUAAUUGUAAUGCAAGUGUACACUGCAUUGCUAAUGCCAACAAAUAAUGUUUGUAAUUUUUGCAUUAAUUUACAAUGUUGCAUACCAUUGAGUAUACUCAAGUAGUACAAAGUAGUACACUUCUGUAUAGUUAUGUGGGGUAGCUGUGCAUUGUCUUGGUUUCAAGGGUGUGAUAACACAAUACUGUGUUACAGUAGAAUAGCAAUGGGGUACGGUGACACUGACAGUGUAUGUCUUUGAGUCCUACCAAGUCGUCCCCGUUAGCAUCACUGCCUGAGGGUUGGGGGGUCUGGAGGGUGGACCUGGUCCAUGCCGAUGGUAUUUUGUCCAGUGCCGUCUUGAUGGCAGCAACCAAUCCUGGAAGCUCUUAAACAAUGAUAUAAAAGGGGUAAAUAAUGAAGUGAGACACAAAAUACAACAUAUUUGUUUCAUGUCAUACAAAAGCGAAAGCCGACAGAGUAAAAUGAUUGACCGAGGCGCAUUCCAACAGUGCUGAUAUUCAGCAAUAAAACUAUUGUGCAUAUGCACUGUUGUAUAAAUGCAUUAGCUCACGCGUGUGAUCAUACGCACACACAAACAGAUUAUUUUCAAAUUUGUGACGUAGGAAGUUGGGUUUGGAAUCUGAGACAUAACGCGCAACGUUUGAAUAAUCGUGAUUUCAAUAUUGACCAAAAUAAUCGUGAUCAUGAUUUCCUUCCGUAAUCGAGCAGCCCUAACAUGCAUGCACUUGGGUUCAAAAUAACAUGCAUUUCCCUUCAUAACCUCAAUUAUAAUGUUUGCAAGUGGGUCAAUAAAUUGUGAGGGUUCAGGUGUAUGCUAGUCCACACUACCAUACACAUGCACCCACCUUUCAGAGCCUUCAACGUCUCCUCAUCGAGUUCCACCAGAACUGUCACUGGUUGCUGCCUUCCGCCUUCCGCCUUCCACCUUCCGUUUUUUGAGCGGCCCAAACAGAUCACAGGAUGGUUCAUCCGAGUCAUCAGACCAAUCGGGAGCAGGAGUAGAGCUACAGGAUGGUUCAUCCGAGUCAUCAGACCAAUCAGGAGCAGGAGUAGAGCUACAGGAUGGUUCAUCCGAGUCAUCAGACCAAUCGGGAGCAGGAGUAGAGCUACAGGAUGGUUCAUCCGAGUCAUCAGACCAAUCGGGAGCAGGAGUAGAGCUACAGGAUGGUUCAUCCGAGUCAUCAGACCAAUCAGGAGCAGGAGUAGAGCUACGGGGGGGUGUGCGUUGCUUGGCGGGUCUCGAGGUAGCUCUUAAACUGGUCACACAUGGCAGUCGCCCCCUGUGAACUAGACUGAAAACAUGCAUAUUGUUUGAGUGUGCCUGGAUUGCCACACAAACCAUGGAAAUAAAUCAAGUCAGUUAGCCAUAUUGGUUUUCAUUUUGCAAAAAUUAAAAGCUUCUUCUGCGAAACACACAUGGUUAAAUUUCAAGACCGGAAACAAUGAUCCCCCCUCCUAAGGUGGACAAACCAAAAGAUGAGUAAAAAUGCUUUUUGCUUUGAUGUUGCAGAGAUAUUGUAACCUUCUUGUGAAGGAUUGUUGACAAUAAUGCACGCUGUAUUUACACAAUGUUUUAUAUAAUAUAUAUCUUAUUUAUAUUUACAAUUGUUGCAUCUAUAUGUGUUUGUUACAAACACCUGCCAGAGUCCAAUUCCUUGUAUGUUGUUCAUACUUGGCUAAUAAAGCUGAUUCCGAUUCUGAUUAACCCAUCACAUGAAUGUAAAGUUUAAAUAUAUUUACUAUAGUAAAUGAGUCUUGUUUCAA